This 548-nucleotide long non-coding RNA is filed under the name Anas platyrhynchos platyrhynchos (common mallard). RNAcentral's name for it is "lncRNA (ENSAPLG00000028737.1)". Lineage: Eukaryota; Metazoa; Chordata; Aves; Anseriformes; Anatidae. The record is from RNAcentral.
CUCUAUGAAUGCGUUGGCUUGUUAGAAGCCCAAAGCGGUGGGUGUAAUGGUAUGCGAGCUGACCUUGAAUAUAGCCACUGUGGGUUGCCCCAGCUUUUUUGUAAAAGAAGCAUUUGCAGCAGAGGUUUGGAUUUCAGGCUUUGCAGUCAUCAAUCAUCUCAGCCUAUUCUCCUCUUUGACAGCUCUGUACAAGGCCUGACAUUUGACACCCAAGACCCCAGGACUUGCACAGAGGCACAAGCUGAGGCCCUAGGGAGGAGCUGGGAGGAGAAUAUCCAUCAUUUCCAGAUGUGGACAUAUGAUCCAGGAGGCAAUUGAAGGUCUGUGGUUUAAGAAGUUACCUAGUCUUCUCCUGCUCAUGCUCCACUAAUGAUAGUAAGUUGACUGUGAUGUUAACACUGAAAUCAUUUGCACAGACAGGCUAAAUAGAUCAUGCCCUUCCUGAGCCUUGAGUCUAUAUUUUACAAACAGCACCAUAUGGUUAAUAUUUAUGCCAACCAGUCAAGUGUUUAUUAAAGCAGAGUCUGGGGAGAUGAGGAGGAGAACUG